This 465-nucleotide ribosomal RNA is filed under the name uncultured bacterium. RNAcentral's name for it is "bacterial SSU rRNA". It matches the Rfam family "Bacterial small subunit ribosomal RNA", at positions 29 to 506 of the family's 1533-position model. The record is from RNAcentral.
GUGAACGCUGGCGGCGUGCUUAACACAUGCAAGUCGAACGGUAACAGGAAGUAGCUUGCUACUUUGCUGACGAGUGGCGCACGGGUGAGUAAACUAUAGUUAAUGUGCCUCGAAGACUGGGAUAGCCACUGGAAACGGUGAUUAAUACUAGAUACACCUCUUUAGCUCAAGCUGGGGAGGGAAACGUUUUUUCGCUAAGAGAUCAGUCUAUGUCCUAUCAGCUAGUUGGUGAGGUAAUGGCUCACCAAGGCUAUGACGGGUAUCUGGUUUGAGAGGAUGAUCAGACACACUGGAACUGAGACACGGUCCAGACUCCUACGGGAGGCAGCAGUGAGGAAUAUUGCACAAUGGAGGAAACUCUGAUGCAGCAACGCCGCGUGGAGGAUGACGCAUUUCGGUGUGUAAACUCCUUUUAAGAGGGAAGAUAAUGACGGUACCUCUUGAAUAAGCACCGGCUAACUCCGU